RNAcentral lists this ribosomal RNA (469 nucleotides) under uncultured bacterium. RNAcentral's name for it is "bacterial SSU rRNA". It matches the Rfam family "Bacterial small subunit ribosomal RNA", at positions 29 to 490 of the family's 1533-position model. The record is from RNAcentral.
AUUGAACGCUGGCGGCAUGCUUUACACAUGCAAGUCGAACGGUAACAGGGAGCUUGCUCCGCUGACGAGUGGCGAACGGGUGAGUAAUGCAUCGGAACGUACCCAGUCGUGGGGGAUAACGUAGCGAAAGUUACGCUAAUACCGCAUACGUCCUGAGGGAGAAAGCGGGGGACCGAAAGGCCUCGCGCGAUUGGAGCGGCCGAUGUCGGAUUAGCUAGUUGGUAGGGUAAAGGCCUACCAAGGCGACGAUCCGUAGCGGGUCUGAGAGGAUGAUCCGCCACACUGGGACUGAGACACGGCCCAGACUCCUACGGGAGGCAGCAGUGGGGAAUUUUGGACAAUGGGCGCAAGCCUGAUCCAGCCAUGCCGCGUGAGUGAAGAAGGCCUUCGGGUUGUAAAGCUCUUUCAGGUGGAAAGAAACGCAUGGGUCGAAUAACCCUGUGUGGAUGACGGUACCGAUCAGAAGAAG